Molecule: long non-coding RNA, 584 nt
Filed under: Olea europaea subsp. europaea
Lineage: Eukaryota; Viridiplantae; Streptophyta; Magnoliopsida; Lamiales; Oleaceae
Source: RNAcentral
CUUGCCUUUUGUCUUAGUUUUGAACUUAUUCUUGUCACUCAAUUUGUUUUUAUUUUUAAUAAAAGUCUUAGAGUGAUAAUUUGAUUUACCAAAAAAAUUUCCUUUUACUAACAAAUUAUCUCCAUUUUGACUAUUACUUGAAUUCGCUUUCAUCACUAGAGCCUCAUUUCUUAGGGAAUUAAUUAUGAUAUCAGUUGUAAGUUCUUCCAUACCAUACUCUAGAAUAACCUUGAUGUAUUUAUAUCUAUCACUAAUGUAGUUUAAUAAGACUAUAGCCAUCAAAUCUUUUGAAAGUUUUCCAUCACAGUUGGUUAAGUCUUGGGUAAGUUUUGUAAUUUUGUUUUAAGUUUUCAUCCAAAUCAACUGAGGGAUCCAUUUUGAAAGAAAAGAAUUGUUUCAGUAGGAAACAUCUAUUGGGAAUAGUUUUUGUCACAUAUAUAACAUGAAGUUUAGUUGACAAUUCAUAAGCGAUUUUCAUUUCACCAAUAAUUCUCAUCACAUUUUAGACAAGUAUAAGAAGAUAGUGCUCCCAGCAACUUCUUCAAUUUCAUUUUUCCUUGCAGAAAGUAAGUCAGCAUGCCAAC